GCCUUCGUGGUGUAGUGGUCAGCACGCUUGACGCGUAACCGAGAGAUCCGUGGUUCGAUUCCCGGCGAAGGCG
RNAcentral lists this transfer RNA (73 nucleotides) under Stegodyphus mimosarum. It matches the Rfam family "tRNA". Rfam says of the family: Transfer RNA (tRNA) molecules are approximately 80 nucleotides in length. Their secondary structure includes four short double-helical elements and three loops (D, anti-codon, and T loops). The record is from Rfam by way of RNAcentral. Lineage: Eukaryota; Metazoa; Arthropoda; Arachnida; Araneae; Eresidae.